AAUUCCCGUUGAUCCUGCGGGAGGUUGCUGCUAUUGGGAUCCGAUUUAGACAUGCAAGUCAGGGCUCGCAAGAGACCGGCGGAAUGCUCAGUAACACGUCGAUAAUCUAACCUUAGGUCUGGGAUAACUUCGGGAAACUGAAGCUAAAACCGGAUAGGAAAUGCACUCUGGAAGGAUGCAUUUUUCAAAGGCAACGCUUAAGGAUGAGUUGGCGGCCGAUUAGGUUGUUGGUGGGGUAAAGUGCGAAAAAUAAAGUUUUUCUCGUGAAAAACUUACGCUUGUACAAGCCCACCAAGCCUGUGAUCGGUAGGGGCCUUGAGAGAGGGAGCCCCGAGAAGGACACUGAGAAACUGGUCCUAGCCCUACGGGGUGCAGCAGUCGCGAAACCUCUACAAUGCACGAAAGUGUGAUAGGGGGAUCCCAAGUGCUAAUGCUUUGCAUUGGCUUUUGCCAAGAGUAAAAUACAAAAAUGGACAUUUUGAUGUACCAUUUCUGAUUUACAUAUCUUGGCGAAUAAGUGGUGGGUAAGACUGGUGCCAGCCGCCGCGGUAACACCAGCGCCACAAGUGGGAGCCGUGUUUAUUGGGCCUAAAGCGUCCGUAGCUGGUUUGGUAAAUUCCUUGUUAAAGCAUCGGGCUCAACUCGAUGACUGCAGGGAACACUGCCUAACUUGGAACCGGGAGGAGUCAGAGGUAUUCUCAGGGGCGCGGUAAAAUGCAUUAAUCCUGAGAGGACCACCUAUGGCGAAGGCAUCUGACUAGAACGGGUUCGACAGUGAGGGACGAAGGCUAGGGGAGCGAACCGGAUUAGAUACCCGUGUAGUCCUAGCAGUAAACGCUGCGAGCUAGAUGUUGGAUAUUUUUCGAGAAUAUCCAGUGUCGGAGCGAAGGUGUUAAGCUCGCCGCCUGGGAAGUAUGGUCGCAAGACUGAAACUCAUGAGAAGAAAACUUAGGUUUUACUUCUAGAGUCAGUAAACUUAAAGGAAUUGGCGGGGAAGCACUACAAGGGGUGCGGCGUGCGGUUUAAUCUAACUCUACACAGAAAAUCUCACCAGGAGCGACGGCAGAAUGAAAGUCAGAUUAAAGGUCUUACUGGACAAGCCGAGAGGUGGUGCAUGGCCGCCGUCAGCUCGUGCCGUAAGGUGUCCACCUAAGCGUGAUAACGAGCGAGACCCACGUCAACAAUUGCUAACAGCUUUUGUGGAAGCUGUGCACAUUGUUGAGACUGCCCAGGAAACCGGGAGGAAGGUGUGGGCCACGGUAGGUCUGUAUGCCCCGAAUCUUCUGGGCAACACGCGCGCAACAAUGGUAAGGACAAUGGGUUGCAACUCUGAAAAGAGAAGCUAAACCUCGAAACCUUACCCUAGUACAGAUUGAUGGCUGUAACUCGCUGUCAUGACGAUGGAAUCCCUAGUAAUCGGACGUCAACAACGUCCGGUGAAUAUGUCCCUGCUUCUUGCACACACCGCCCGUCAAGCCACUCGAGCAGGGUUUUGAUAAGCAUUGAUUUUAGUCAAUGCGAAUCAAAGCUCAGUGAGAUGGGCUAAGUCGUCACAAGGUAGCCGUAGGGGAACCUGCGGCUGGAUCACCUCCUUA
Molecule: ribosomal RNA, 1595 nt
Filed under: Candidatus Woesearchaeota archaeon
Lineage: Archaea; Nanobdellati; Candidatus Woesearchaeota
Description: bacterial SSU rRNA
Rfam family: Archaeal small subunit ribosomal RNA
Source: RNAcentral